Molecule: long non-coding RNA, 770 nt
Filed under: Panax ginseng (ginseng)
Lineage: Eukaryota; Viridiplantae; Streptophyta; Magnoliopsida; Apiales; Araliaceae
Description: long non-coding RNA (PGIN_LNC011363)
Source: RNAcentral
UCCUGGAAUGCCACAAUUGAAGCACUUGCCUUUGAAUUUCAUCUUGGCUUUGAAAUUAGAAUUUCCUUCGCGCUUCCUUUUGUUGUUGUUGUUUGGCCUUUGUUCUACCACAUUAGCCUUUGCCUCAUAUAAAUUUUUCCCACUCUUCUUUUCAGAUACUCGAUUGUCCUCUUCAAUUCUAAGUCGAACAAUCAGUUCUUCAAGAUUCAUCUAUUUGCGUUUAUGCUUAAGAUAAUUCUUGAAGUCUUUCUAUGACGGUGCAAGUUUCUCAAUCAUUGCAGCAACUUGGAAUGAGUCACUUAAUGACAUUCCUUCAACAUGAAUAUCAUGUAGAAUUACUUGUAAUUCUUGAAUCUGUGUGAUGACUGCUUUAGAAUCUAACAUUUUAUAAUCAAGAAAUCUACCGACUAUGAAUUUCUUCAUACCAGCAUCUUCAGUUUUAUAUUUCUUGUCUAAAGAUUCUCAUAUUUCCUUUGCAGUUUGAAUUGUACAAUACACAUUGUACAGUGUAUUGUCCAUUCCAUUAAUCACAUAAUUUCUGGAAAGAAAAUCAGCAUGUUUCUAUGCAUCAACUGUAGCCAACUUUUCCUUGUCAGUUUCUCCUUCAACAAGAGUAGGACAAUCUUCUUGUAGAAACCUUAACAAAUUCAAUGUUGUGAGAUAGAAGAGCAUCUUUUGUUGCCAACGCUUGAAAUUAGUUCCAUUGAACCUUCCAGGCUUUUCUCCAUGAGACAAACUCACGGCAGGAAUAGUGCUAGUGGAUGCCAUUU